Molecule: small RNA, 28 nt
Filed under: Bombyx mori (domestic silkworm)
Lineage: Eukaryota; Metazoa; Arthropoda; Insecta; Lepidoptera; Bombycidae
Description: ovarian small RNA-10370
Source: RNAcentral
AACCUUCCACCCCUCACUACGCCUACUA